GUGGGGAAUAUUGGUCAAUGGACGGAAGUCUGAACCAGCCAAGUAGCGUGCAGGAUGACGGCCCUAUGGGUUGUAAACUGCUUUUGUAUGGGAAUAAAGUGAGGGACGUGUCCCUUUUUGUAUGUACCAUAAGAAUAAGGACCGGCUAAUUCCGUGCCAGCAGCCGCGGUAAUACGGAAGGUCCGGGCGUUAUCCGGAUUUAUUGGGUUUAAAGGGAGCGCAGGCUGGAGAUUAAGCGUGACGUGAAAUGCCGCGGCUCAACCGUGGAAGUGCGUCGCGAACUGGUUUCCUUGAGUGUAUUCGACGUCAGCGGAAUUCGUGGUGUAGCGGUGAAAUGCUUAGAUAUCACGAAGAACUCCGAUUGCGAAGGCAGCUGGCGAGGCUAUAACUGACGCUAAAGCUCGAAGGUGCGGGUAUCGAACAGG
RNAcentral lists this ribosomal RNA (425 nucleotides) under uncultured rumen bacterium. RNAcentral's name for it is "bacterial SSU rRNA". It matches the Rfam family "Bacterial small subunit ribosomal RNA", at positions 354 to 776 of the family's 1533-position model. The record is from RNAcentral.